Molecule: ribosomal RNA, 487 nt
Filed under: uncultured bacterium
Lineage: Bacteria
Description: partial 16S ribosomal RNA
Rfam family: Bacterial small subunit ribosomal RNA
Source: RNAcentral
ACUCAAAUGAAUAGACGGGGGCCCGCACAAGCAGCGGAGCGUGUGGUUUAAUUCGAUGCAACGCGAAGAACCUUACCUAGGCUUGACGUAGUGGUAGUAGUGAAGCGAAAGCGGAACGACCCUUCGGGGAGCCAUUACAGGUGCUGCAUGGCUGUCGUCAGCUCGUGUCGUGAGAUGUUGGGUUAAGUCCCGCAACGAGCGCAACCCUCGUCGCUAGUUACACGUGUCUAGCGAGACCGCCGAUAUCAAAUCGGAGGAAGGUGGGGAUGACGUCAAGUCAGCAUGGCCUUUAUGCCUAGGGCGACACACACGCUACAAUGGCUGGUACAAUGAGCAGCGAACGGGUGACCUGGAGCGAAUCUCAUCAAAGCCAGUCGUAGUUCAGAUUGUAGGCUGCAACCCGCCUACAUGAAGCCGGAGUUGCUAGUAAACGCAGGUCAGCCAUACUGCGUUGAAUACGUUCCCGGGCCUUGUACACACCGCCCGU